Long non-coding RNA from Heteronotia binoei (common prickly gecko), 2474 nucleotides. RefSeq lists it as uncharacterized. The transcript is spliced from 2 exons. Lineage: Eukaryota; Metazoa; Chordata; Lepidosauria; Squamata; Gekkonidae. The record is from RefSeq and is a predicted model, not a curated record.
AGAUCCAAGCGGGCAGCCGUGUUGGUCUGAAGCAGUUAACAAAGCAAGAGUCAAGUGCAUCUUUAAAACCAACCAAUUUUUAUUUAGAACGUAAGCUUUCGUGUGCUCUUAAGCACACUUCAGCAUUCCUCGUCUGACGUGUGCUUAAGAACACACGAAAGCUUACGUUCUAAAUAAAAAUUGGUUGGUCUUAAAGGUAACACUCGACUCGUGCUUUGUUCAACUCUGUGGUUAAGCUGUCAUGGCUACGGUGGGAUUUUGGACCGGAAGUGCCGAUAAAGGCGGUUGUGUGUCACUCUAGCGUUUUUCUAUCUGUGGACGUAGCGUCCUUUGGCUAUUAUAGAGCGCACAAGAUGAAGCGGCUGGAGAAGUGCCGGUGGCCAGAAGUAAAGGCUCACGGAGGGGAAGACGAGCGCCUCCUAUCGAUGGAAAGAACUCCGUGCAUGUCAGAUGUUUUUCCUACUUGCGGGAUCAAAGAAAGUGGAGAAGAUCCUGCCCAGCGGAGCGAUGAGUCUUCUUUAUCUUGGAGAUGAUACAAAGCCCAGAGAUCAGAAUCAAAACAAGCCGAACUUUCCAGGGAAUUGGAAUUGCAUUGGACACAGCAAGGAAGUGGUCAGCAAGAUGUCUCCCACCACCCUAAUCAGGAAGAAGUCUCCGAAUGCCAGCAAGAAAUCUAUCCAGAGACAGCAGGAGACAAACUCUUUCAGUGUAACCUUCAAGUGUGUGAAAGAAUCCCACAAAGAGGGAAAAAACAUGUGUUCUUUCUGCAGGAAAAAGCUUUAGCCAGCGUUCAAUUCUUACUGUACACGAAAGAACACACACAGGAGAGAGGCCAUAUGAAUGUACGGACUGUGGGAGGUGGUUUAGCCAUCGCUCAAACCUUUUCACUCACAAAACGGUCCACACAGGAGGGAGACCAUAUAACUGCUCUGACUGUGGGGACAGUUUUAGGCACCAGUCCCACCUCAUUACUCAUAAGAGGAUUCACACAGGUGAAAGGCUGUGGGAAAAGCUUCAACCAGAGGUCAGUCCUCACCAUCCAUGAACACACCCACACAGGAGAGAGGCCAUAUAUAUGCUCUGACUGUGGGAAAAGUUUUAACCAGAGGUCAAUUCUUAUUGCACAAGAGAACCCACAUAGGAGAAAGGCCGUUUAAAUGCUCAGACUGGAAAGAGCUUCAAACAGCUCUUGGCUCUCACUGCACAUGCUCGAAGCCACACGGGUGAGAGACCAUAUGGGUGCUUGGACUGUGGGAAAAACUUUACUUGCAGCUCCCUCCUCAUUAAACACAGGAGGACCCACACAGGAGAAAAAUCAUAUGAAUGCUCAAACUGUGAGAGGCGGUUCAGUCAGCGCUCUCAGCUUGUUAUUCACGAGAAAACGCACACAGGACAGAUAUCAUAUUGAGUUUUAGGAUGAGGAGGAAGCUUGAGCCUGAAGCCAAACUGUAGCAUGUAGCUGGAGGAGAACCAGGAGGAAGAGAGGGCUGAUUUUCUUGGGAAGUGUGCCACACAAGUUCACAGUAUAAGAUAGUACCUCUUCUAAUGUGCAGCACACAUAGGCCUUGUGGUUUGGGUUGGUUUUCUCUCUAGUGAUCUACUAAACCAUAAAGCAGGCAGUUUCACAAGGCAAGAAUGUAGGUCUCACUUGGUGGUACCACAGUUAGGCCCAAAGAUCCACCUGCUGCUGUCCAAACAUGCCACAACCUUCUUCAGUUAUCUACAGGAUCAGUCAAUUGUCACCCUCCAGGAAGCUAUAGUGAGAGAGCUGUCCUUUUUAAAUGCAGACAAGUCGGUAAGAAACGAGGUAAAUGACUCUGUAAGCCAAAUUGGCCAUUUUGAGUAUUCUUAUUGCAGAACAUGAGUGGCAACUAGGAAGGAAGGACAAUGCCUGUUGCUUAAAAAGGGUAGGUGGAAACAGGUGGGCUUUCAUUUCAGUUGCCAGCCAUUCCUGGUUAUUUGUACAUUCAAGCAUUAAACAGUUUUUGCACUCUUCCAAACUGUCCCCGGUAACACCUGUCUCUAAAAAUGACGUUUCCAUGCUUAGCUGCUCUGUCCAUUAGCCAUAACCAGGCCUGUUUCUGUCAAUAAGAAUCUCCUCAGCCAGUAGCCAUCCAUACAUCAUCUGACCAUAAGUUACUUAAGGUAAUUAUAGAAUGGUGAAGAAUUACAUACUAUUUUGCUGUUGGUCAUCAGGUUAAUUUCCAACAGCUGAACAAUAUGCCUGGUUGAAAUAAUACAACUUUGAACUCCAGAGUACUGAAAUAGCUGUGCAGAAUUUAAAAUGUGGUUUUAAGGUGACAUCCAGUCAGGGCUACUCAGGGCGGUGCAAGCCACUUAAUAAGCUUGCCCCAUUGUAUUGUUCUCUUUGCUUUUAUGAAGGAUCUGAAAACACUGGACUGUAUCCUGCUGACCAUUUCCAUGUGUAGCUUUUGCCACUUUCUAUUUAUUCCAAAUAAAAUGCUUAUGGGGGG